UGGGGAAUAUUGGACAAUGGGCGCAAGCCUGAUCCAGCCAUACCGCGUGGGUGGAGAAGGCCUUCGGGUUGUAAAGCCCUUUUGUUGGGAAAGAAAUCCUGUCGAUUAAUACUCGGUGGGGAUGACGGUACCCAAAGAAUAAGCACCGGCUAACUUCGUGCCAGCAGCCGCGGUAAUACGAAGGGUGCAAGCGUUACUCGGAAUUACUGGGCGUAAAGCGUGCGUAGGUGGUGGUUUAAGUCUGCUGUGAAAGCCCUGGGCUCAACCUGGGAAUUGCAGUGGAUACUGGAUCACUAGAGUGUGGUAGAGGGAUGCGGAAUUUCUGGUGUAGCAGUGAAAUGCGUAGAGAUCAGAAGGAACAUCCGUGGCGAAGGCGGCAUCCUGGGCCAACACUGACACUGAGGCACGAAAGCGUGGGGAGCAAACAG
Molecule: ribosomal RNA, 428 nt
Filed under: uncultured bacterium
Lineage: Bacteria
Description: bacterial SSU rRNA
Rfam family: Bacterial small subunit ribosomal RNA
Source: RNAcentral